Molecule: small nuclear RNA, 107 nt
Filed under: Cebus imitator (Panamanian white-faced capuchin)
Lineage: Eukaryota; Metazoa; Chordata; Mammalia; Primates; Cebidae
Source: RNAcentral
GUGCUCACUUCGGCAGCACAUAUACUAAAAUUGGAAUGAUACAAAGAAGAUUAGCAUGGCCCUUGCGCAAGGAUGACACGCAAAUUCAUGAAGCGUUCCAUAUUUUU